GGAUGCCGGAUAACGUCCGGUGGAGGCGACUCCAAGGCCAGUGCAACAGAAAUAUACCGCCUGCAGGGGACAUUUUGUUCCCGGCAGGUAAGGGUGGAAGGGCAGUGUAAGAGACUACCGCCUUGCUGGUAACAGCAGGGGCACAUGUAAACCCCAUCCGAAGCAAGACCGGAUAAAGACGAUGUGGCGGCCCGUCACGUCUUAGGUAGGUCGCUGGAACCUUCCGGCAACGAAAGGUCUAGAUAGAUGAUUACUCAACGACAUAACCCGGCUUAUCGUCUUGCUUGC
This 288-nucleotide RNase P RNA is filed under the name [Clostridium] scindens. Its description in RNAcentral is "Bacterial RNase P class A". It matches the Rfam family "Bacterial RNase P class A", at positions 69 to 363 of the family's 367-position model. From Rfam's summary of the family: Ribonuclease P (RNase P) is a ubiquitous endoribonuclease, found in archaea, bacteria and eukarya as well as chloroplasts and mitochondria. Its best characterised activity is the generation of mature 5'-ends of tRNAs by cleaving the 5'-leader elements of precursor-tRNAs. Lineage: Bacteria; Bacillati; Bacillota; Clostridia; Lachnospirales; Lachnospiraceae. The record is from RNAcentral.